Long non-coding RNA from Eriocheir sinensis (Chinese mitten crab), 6334 nucleotides. RefSeq lists it as uncharacterized. The record is from RefSeq and is a predicted model, not a curated record. NCBI's taxonomy places the organism in Eukaryota, Metazoa, Arthropoda, Malacostraca, Decapoda, Varunidae. The transcript is spliced from 2 exons.
AAAGCCUUUCUUCGUAGGAUUUGUUGCGCAAGGAGGGGAUCAUUUUUGUUGCUAGACGCUGAACACCUUCUAGUUUAGCAAUGUCCUUUGCAUGGUGGGGAGACCAAAACUGUACCGCAUAUUCCAAGUGGGGUCUGACUAAACUAUUGUAGAGCGGAAGUAUUACAUCUUUAUUCUUGAAUACAAAGUUUCUUUUAAUGAAGCCCAACAUUCUGUUCGCUUUAUUUGCUGCAUCGAUGCAUUGCUGUGAGAAUUUGAGGUUUGACGCGAUUUUAAGAGAGAGAGAGAGAGAGAGAGAGAGAGAGAGAGAGAGAGAGAGAGAGAGAGAGAGAGAGAGAGAGAGAGAGAGAGAGAGAGAGACGGCCGAUUCAUUCUUGUCCAUAACGUAUUUCCUGUGACAAAAUGCGUUUCCCUCGUCGACCCCGUUACUACCAUUCUUUUAUUUCUUGUGAGAAAAUAGGCUUGAAGUCCUUACGAGAAACUUGUUAUGGAUUACAAUUGCACUAGUCCGUAUUUUUCACCAAAAUAAUGUUGAAGCUAGCAACAUGUACGGUGUACAGGAGAGUUUUAUGAUAAAGGAAUAUUUCGUAGCACUCACGCCUCUCACCGGCAAACGGGCUGAGGCAGGCAGUCACGAAGCGCAGUCACUCAGUUUUAACAUUGUGCCAUUGUUGUGUGGAGAUUGUUGUGUUACGGAUUUCGCAAAGGGGAUAAUCAUGCCAAAAGUUGAAAAGAAUUAUCGUUCCCAAAGAUACAGGGCGGAGUGGGAAAAAGAAAGCUGGACUUCAGGAUGGCUCUCUGCUGGAAAACGAAUGGAAAAAGCUCAUUGUAGAGUGUGUGAUAAGGAGCUAGUGGCAGGAAAAUCUGAGUUCAUUGGUCACACAAAAACGUCUACUCAUAUAAGUCACUUACUAAGCGAAUUCAGUCAAAUGAACCGAUGACCAAGUUUGUGAAAUCAAAGGAUGAAUUAAAAAAAAGGGCAGGAUUAAAGCAGAGCUGAAUGUUGUAGCAAUGAAGACUAGAAAAAAAUCUCUUUCAACUGUCUUGAUGACAUGCAUGGUUAGUACACUCCAUUUUAAUGUUGCAGAUGAUUCGAAAGCAAUCAAGAAACUUGUAACCGAACCAAGCCUUUGUUUAUUGUUUUGUAGUACAUUGUAUAUGUUUUUACUUAUUUUUUUUAAAGAAGUUUACAUAUGUAUUUUAUCACCUUUCAGUCUUUAAUAUGUUGUUACGUAUUUUUUGGAAAAAAGAAGUCUGAUGCUAUAUUAUCAGUUUUGGUGUGUAGGGGAACGUAGGGGAAAAUCACCUUGGAUGUAGGUAGCACAGGUCACCGAAGCGUGGCAACACUGCUGCCCUAUGCGACGUAAUUCAGUUCACUUCCUCCAAAACCAUCCUACAGUGAGGUUCAGUGACUUCAGUCCUAUAGACUCCUACAAUUACGCUGGCUGCUUACACGGUACGCUUCUUCUUAAGAUACUAAGGCGAUUCUGGGCAAUUUCCUCCUACUCACCCCCCCUCUGACUCCUUUAUGUCUGUUUUUAAGAUCCUUAAGGAUGCUUUCUAUACCCUCUCUGUCCUCGACCCUCAGAAGGAUUUUGGGCCUGAUGGAGUGCCUCUUAUCGUCCUCAAGAACUGUGCUCCCGUGCUGUCACCCUGCCUGGUCAAACUCUUUCGCCUCUGCUUGUCAACAUCUACCUUUCCUUCCUGCCUGUGCCUCAGAAGGGUGACCGUUCCAAUCUCUCAAACUACCGCCUUUUAGCUUUACUUUCCUGUCUAUCUAACUCUUUUGAAUCAAUCCUUAACCGGAAGAUUCAAAAGCACCUUUCCACUUUUGAUCUUCUAUCUGAUCGCCAGUAUGGGUUCCGCAAGGGGCGUUCUAUUGGCGAUCUUCUUGCUCUCUUAAAUGACUCUUGGUCAUUCUCUCUUAGCUGUUUCGGUGAAACUUUCUCAGUUGCGUUAGACAUAUCGAAAGCUUUCGAUAGAGUCUGGCACAGAUCUUUGCUUUCUAAACUGCCCUCUUUCGGAUUCUAUCCUUCUCCCUGUUCCUGUAUCUCUAGUUUCCUUUCCGACCGCUCUACCUCUGCCGUGGUAGACGGUCACUGUUCUUCCUCUAAACCUAUCAACAGUGGUGUCCCACAGGGCUCUGUCCUCUCAUCCACUCUCUUCCUGUUAUUCAUCAAUGAUCUUCUUUCCAUAACAAAAUGUCCUAUCCUUCAUACGCUGACGACUCCACUCUGCAUUAUUCAACUUUUUUCAACAGAAGACCCUCUCAACAGGAAUUACGAGACUCCAGACUGGAGGAUGCAAAACGCUUAACCUCAGACAUUGCUCUCAUUUCCGAUUGGGGUAAAAGGAACCUUGUGUCCUUUAAUGCAUCAAAUACCCAAUUUCUCCACCUAUCAACUCGACGCAAUCUUCCAAACACCUAUCCCCUAUUCUUCGACAACACUCAGCUGUCACCUUCUUCAACACUAAAUAUCCUCGGUCUAUCCUUAACUCAAAAUCUCAACUGGAAACUUCACAUUUCCUCUCGCACUAAAUCAGCUUCCUCGAGGUUGGGCGUUCUGUAUCGUCUCCGCCAGUUCUUCUCCCCCGCACAGAUGCUUUACAUAAGGGUCUUGUCCGCCCUCGUAUGGAGUAUGCAUCUCACAUGUGGUGGGGCUCCACUCACACAGCUCUUCUGGACAGAGUGGAGUCUAAGGCCCGUACCAAGAGUCGUGAAGGUUUAGUGACGAAGCUCGAAGGGAAGGACGGUGCGUACCUAUAGUCACUAGCAUUUUUGGAACGAAGGUCUGUGGAAGAGACGAAGGGAAGGCAAGGUCUACCCCUAAGUCUAUAUAUACCAAGUCAAGUCAUACGCAGGUUUGUGGGAGGAGACACGGCAGAAGCGUGGCUUGGAGCCAAACUAGAGAAUGUAGAAACAGGGAUUUAGAGAAAACGAAGAAAGGCGGACCAAUUUAAAUCAAUCACUUCAACAUACCCUCCCUCACACCUCACACCGCCGUUUGUAGGCAUUGAAAUUACAGUCACGCAACAGCACAAUAAAAAGGCUUAUUUUUUUUCAUCAGUGGCUUGCCUGAACGCGCUGUGAAAGCAAGCAAGCAUGCACAUCCAAAGUGCACACACGGCCGCAACUUUAGUCACCCCUGAACUGUCGGGUAUUUUUUUUUUACCUUCAAGUGACGUCAUCACGCUGCUCCACCCCCAAACCGCCCCCUGCGCGUACCGGUCGCAGUUUUGAAGCAGAGUGACUUGACUUGGUAUAUAUAGACUUAGGUCUACCCCGUGUCUUCCCUCAGACCUUCGAGGAAAAAUAUGUUUAUUUUCCAAAUUUGGUGUGGCAAAUAGUUGCGGUUCAGUUAAAACAACCUGAGAAAAUAUUUUCCCUAAUUGGAAAGUCGUAUAUUAUAGUUGCAGCGAAUAUGUUUGUCUUGUUUACAACAACAGCACGCGUCUUCAAAGCACAGAGGAACCAGCCAGGCGGGAACCUUCAUGGCUCACAUUCUCCAACGAUCUAUGGUUUUUCAAAUUCUUUCUUAUUUCAGUUAAGACAUCUGGCUCUGCAAGUGCAAACAAAGGGUAUCUUAAUAAUUUACUGCAUGCAAAUAACGAUUAAUAAUGGAAAAAAACAUGAAAUAAUAAAUAAUAACUGUUGAAUGCGAUGCUUGGCUAUUUCGAAUAUUAGGCUACCCAUGUUAUUUAUACAUGCAACAUCAAAAUUUCUUAUGUAUAGACACUUGCAGAGUCGUAUGUAACUUUAUAUAUGUGAGGGCAACUACCAACUUGGCAGGCGAACGACCGGGGCAAUCCUGCCGCCCGCCCGCUUCUUGCCGUUCGAAGCCGUUCAACUACCGAGGCGCAGCGAACCACCUGCUACACUCGCGCUGCUCGUUCGCCUGACGCCGUUCGACGCCUCGGUCGACUGAACCAUCGAGGCUUCUCAAUCCGCUGUGGGAGGCGACUAGGUGUGCGCCAGCGCCUUCCUCGUCAGACAGCGGCCGGGCCUCGCUCUGAACACUUGAUUCUACUCCGGUUCCAAGCCCUGCUCUCAUUCGGGUUAACUCAGAUACCGUGGGCUCGUUCUGGGUGCCUUACCUCUCCCCUCUCCACGCCUUGGACUCCCGUUAUUGUCGUUAACCUGACGCCCCUUCUCCUCCUGCGGCUCCCUCGUCUACCACGUCUACACCACUUCAAGGACGAAGCAUUGCUGCCUCGUCAUUGCCACUCUGGACGAGACGCCCAGAAGAGGAAGAAGCCGUGCAACGGGUCAUUGCUGAGUCCGGUGUUGUGCUGGAAGCUUCCCCCGGCGUCCAUGGGGCUCUAGAAGGCUCCGGGAAGAGCGAGCAAGGGGGCGGGGAGCAAAGCCUCGUCCGCGCCCCGCGGGGCGCGGCCAGGCGCCAGGCGGGAAGUGUUGCCAACCCGCACAUACUUUUGCUACAUGUUCUUGUAUGAUCUAAAAUUCUAAAAUAUACUGUAACAUUCUAGACUGUACUGUUCUGGAUAUAUAUCGAAGAAGAGGGCGAGAGGAGGCCAGUCCCAGUCAUAGUAAGCUAGUGUUCAGUGAAGAGUCAGAGUGAAGUGUACUACUAAGGAAGAACAUUAAACUACAGAAACUGUGCAAAGUGUUUACAUUUCUCCCUCCCAAGGAGUCUCCUGACGGCGACACGGAACCCAAGUAACACGUCCGGCAUAACACCGGCGUGCUGAAGCCUUCGUGUUGGAAACUUCAGAUUGUGAUUGGGGUUUCUACUUUACUUAAAGUAAACUGGUGUCUAAUCAUUUAUCUUGUUUAUUGUUAUCCCUUCCGAUUGCAGCACCAAACUCUGGAACCUUGACAAUAUCCCUUAAUGAGAUGAAAUAUGAGUAUCUGAAAGGCUAUAGAUCAUUCGAGUAUGAUCAAACUAUACUGUUUGAUAUACAAGUUGCUUCUUAGUGUCCUUGUAUGUUAUAUUAUCAAUGCAAAUCUUUUGUUUGCGGUUCAUAUACAAUGGUUUGAGGAUUUUUUUGUAUGCACAAACAUUCAAAUGAUCUUCACGCAAACACAAGCUCACAAUGCGCAGGUGCCACAUCUACGUUCACGAGUGGACAGACGGAAUGAAACGGACAAUAUUAUGGCUGGAAUAGCACCAUGGGGAUAUUAUACCUCCAUAAAUAGCACUGUGUGUUUGUAUGUGUGUGCGUGCAUUAGAUCUGGUAGGUGAAAAGAAGGUUGCAGUGUGUGUAUGUGCAUUUACCUUCCAUAGUGACUUGUGGUAAAGGAUUGAAGGGACGGUUUGAGGCCGUGCCUACAUUGUCGAAGGGAAGGUACGCGGCUCGACCUUCACGACUCUUGGUACGGGCCUAGGGCUGUUCGUCUCAUCAGCUCUCCUCCUAUUACUGACAGCCCUCUUAAAUUCCGCCUCCAUGUUGCAUCUCUUUCUAUCUUCUAUUGAUAUUUUCACACUGACUGCUCUUCUGAACUUGCUAAAUGCAUGCAUCCCCCCCCUCCCGCGGCCCCACUGCACACGACUUUCUACUCAUGCUCAUCAUUAUAAUGUCCAAACCCAUUAUGCAGGAGUUAACCAGCAUCUUCAUUCUUUCAAAAACUUUUCACUGGUAAACUCUGGAACAGCCUUCCUUCGUAUGUAUUUCCUCUUGCUUAUGACUUGACCUCUUUCAAGAAGAGUGUAUCAAGACACCUCUCCAUCCGAAAUUGACCUCUUUUUGCCACUCUAUAGUUAUCGCUAUAUGAGAGCAACAGUUAGCGUUUUUAUUUUUAUUUUAUUUUUUUGUUGCCCUUGAAUUGCUCUCCGCUGGUAAAAAAAAAAAAUGAAGUGAUGUUCAUUAUGUAAUUGUAAUUAUGAUAUAAUUUAUUUUGAAGUAAUUGUAAUUGUAAUGUAAUUGCUAUUUCCAAAUGUAAUUUUAAUUAUAAUUGUAAUUCAAAAUUUAUGAAAGUAAUUGUAAUUGUAAGUAUUUAUUUCAAGUGUAAUUACUCCAACCCUGAUCCAAAACAUGGAUAGAGAUGACGGGGACACACACUGACGAUGCAGGGACGACUAAGGAAGGUGGCAUAGAUCGUAUAACAUUAUAAUUGGGGAGACGAGGGGCCCUGAGAAACAUUGAUAAUACAAGGUAGGUGAAAGAUGGUGAUCUAGUGCUUAUUACAAUCUUUAAGAGGUAGGCUGACGGGGAUCGCUGACAGAGACAAUGGAAGGCAGACAAAGGAGGGUGAAUAGUAACAGUCUAUAUAGGUAAGCAGACGGGGGAGCAGAGAACGAGGCACAAGUUUGCGGAACCAAAGUAUGUAAAGGAAGCCACAACACAAAGAAGCCCUUGGAGGAAGGAAGAGUUGGAG